RNAcentral lists this long non-coding RNA (1154 nucleotides) under Equus caballus (horse). Its description in RNAcentral is "lncRNA (ENSECAG00000049224.1)". The record is from RNAcentral. Lineage: Eukaryota; Metazoa; Chordata; Mammalia; Perissodactyla; Equidae.
UGAACUCUAUCAUUUGCCCCAAAUUGUUUAUAAAGUGCUUUGCUAAGACAUUUUCUUCCAGAGAAGCAGCCUGGGAGGAGAGCUGAAAACCUGUGAUGGAGGGUGGCUGGGUAAUAUUAGACAAAUCCCCAAGCCAUCGUUUCCUCAUCCGCCUGGUACCGACAGGAAUCCCCUUCCCGACAACUUCACAAGAUGGCGGCCACAUAAAACAGGAAGAGGAGAGACGUGAUUCCAGCCUCACAGGGCCUACAGUCUAGUAGGGAGAGAUGAGAAAAUAGACAAUGAAGACACAGGUGCAGGAAAGUUUCCUGAGGAAGCCAAGUCUGCGCUGGGCCCUGAAAGACAAGCAGAACUUCUGAGAUGCUAUUUCCCACACCCGAUGGCUGUGUACCUGCACCUCCUUCCCCUGGCUGCCUCGCAGUGCUGUAUUCCCUGGUUUCCAGGCUUGAAGAACUCCUUUCAACAUUUCUUGUAAGGCAGAUCUAGUGGUGAUAAAGUCUCUCAGCUUUUGUUUGACUGGGAAAGUCUUUAUAUCUCCUUUAUUUUUGAAGCACAGCUUUAACAGGAAGAUUAGCCCUGAGCUAACAUCUGCUGCCAAUCCUCCUCUUUUUGCUGAGGAAGCCUGGUCCUGAGUUCACAUCCACGCCCAUCUUCUUCUACUUUAUAUGUGGGACGCCUGCCACAGCAUGGCUUGACAAGCAGUGCCAUGUCCGCACCCGGGAUCUGAACCAGUUAACCCUGGGCCGUGGAAGCAGAAAGUGCAAACUUAACCGCUAUACCACGGGGCUGGCCCCCUGAAGACAGAUAUUUUUAAAACCCCGUCUUUGGACCCUUAUUGUGGACGGCACUGAAUAAGUUAGGAGCAUUUAUACUGAUAAGGGUACAUUGAAACUUCUCCAUCUCAGCCCUCAGAUGGAGCCCAGAGUCCUCCAAGGACUUACUCUGUUCCUCUAAAGCAGUUGUUAUCCCUCAAACUCCAAACAGUUGAAUAAGUCAGACUCUAAAGGGCUUUUACACAUCUCUCUCAAAUGUAUAUAGCAAAGGAAAAUAGCAAUAGUAAAUCAUUCUGAUCAGAGAAACCGUUCAGAAACAAAUAAUAAAAUUCAAGGCAUAUAUCCUUUUGAUGUGGGUUGGUAUUGUCAUCUCAGUUUUAG